Molecule: ribosomal RNA, 478 nt
Filed under: uncultured bacterium
Lineage: Bacteria
Description: partial 16S ribosomal RNA
Rfam family: Bacterial small subunit ribosomal RNA
Source: RNAcentral
GAUGAACGCUGGCGGCGUGCUUAACACAUGCAAGUCGAGCGAGAAAAGUUCUUCGGAGCUUUUCUAGCGGCGGACGGGUGAGUAACACGUGGGCAACCUGCCUCAUAGAGGGGAAUAGCCUUCCGAAAGGAAGAUUAAUACCGCAUAAUAUUGUUGAAAGGCAUCUUUUAACAAUCAAAGGAGCAAUCCGCUAUGAGAUGGGCCCGCGGCGCAUUAGCUAGUUGGUGAGGUAACGGCUCACCAAGGCGACGAUGCGUAGCCGACCUGAGAGGGUGAUCGGCCACAUUGGAACUGAGGCACGGUCCAGACUCCUACGGGAGGCAGCAGUGGGGAAUAUUGCACAAUGGGGGAAAUCCUGAUGCAGCAACGCCGCGUGAGUGAUGAAGGUCUUCGGAUUGUAAAGCUCUGUCUUUAGGGACGAUAAUGACGGUACCUAAGGAGGAAGCCACGGCUAACUACGUGCCAGCAGCCGCAGUAA